Molecule: non-coding RNA, 805 nt
Organism: Chrysemys picta bellii (western painted turtle)
Lineage: Eukaryota; Metazoa; Chordata; Testudines; Emydidae
Source: RefSeq, a predicted model, not a curated record
GACGGGUCGGUAACGCAGCCGGGCGCGGCGGCAUCCCGCUGAGGGCGCAGAGCCCUGGAGAGGGUCCCCCAGCGCUGGAAGCGGGUGUGCGCUCCCGCUGCACAGGGCACCGGCCGCUCCCGCAACGCCGGCACGGUGGGAUCAUUUGCAGUUAUCUGAACUAGAAUGUAACCAACUGAAAAGGUUUCAUUUUCUAACAGACUGUUGAGGAGAACCAUUGCCUGGAUGUCCAUCAUGUCUAAUUUUAUGGACCUACCUAAGGUAAUUUCCCAAAUCCAUGUCCACGUCUGUCAGAAAUCCAGACUAAAUGGAGACAGUGAACCUUUUAGAACCAAGCUGGAGGAACACUACUGCGCUCAGUCUAACUACUAUACCAAUAGACACUGAGGCUGCAUGAGAAGAAGUAUAAUGAGGAGACGAUUUCAGCAACACUAUUGGAGACAUGCUAUCAGUUUUUUUAGAUUCCAGAACAUUUCUUAAAAUUUAAGCCAAUUAACAAAAAAAGUUGGGGAGCUAACUGGUAAAAAACCUGGCUUUUCAAACUGAGUAUUCCCAUUAGUCUCCAGAUUACACUGAAUGCAAUACAAGUUUGUGAAAGCCUUCACUAAAUGAAAUCGGUUUACAUUCCACUAUCUUACUUUAAGAGGAUUAAUAAGUGUAGCUCUAUGCUGAAGCAAGUUCAUGUUUCUUGUUAGUUCCUUGGGGGGAGUUCAACUAUUUUAUCCUAGAAAAAGUUCAAGAGACUAUUCAGUCUUGAAGAGACCUUUAAUAAAAACCAUGAGAAAUAAGCUUUCUGAAGUGUGAU